This 441-nucleotide ribosomal RNA is filed under the name uncultured bacterium. RNAcentral describes it as "partial 16S ribosomal RNA". It matches the Rfam family "Bacterial small subunit ribosomal RNA", at positions 338 to 795 of the family's 1533-position model. The record is from RNAcentral.
CCUACGGGAGACAGCAGUGGGGGAUAUUGCACAAUGGGGGGAACCCUGAUGCAGCGACGCCGCGUGGGUGAAGGAGUGCUUCGGCAUGUAAAGCCCUAUCGGCAGGGAAGAAGCAAGACGGUACCUGACUAAGAAGCCCCGGCUAACUACGUGCCAGCAGCCGCGGUAAUACGUAGGGGGCGAGCGUUAUCCGGAUUCACUGGGUGUAAAGGGAGCGUAGACGGCCAUGCAAGCCAGGGGGGAAAGCCCGGGGCCCAACCCCGGGACUGCCCUUGGAACUGGGCGGCUAGAGUGCGGGAGGGGCAGGCGGAAUUCGUGGUGUAGCGGUGAAAUGCGUAGAUAUCAGGAGGAACACCGGCGGCGAAGGCGGCCUGCUGGACCGCGACUGACGUUGAGGCUCGAAAGCGUGGGGAGCGAACAGGAUUAGAUACCCUAGUAGUC